This 450-nucleotide ribosomal RNA is filed under the name uncultured Glomus. Its description in RNAcentral is "SSU rRNA". It matches the Rfam family "Eukaryotic small subunit ribosomal RNA", at positions 569 to 1024 of the family's 1831-position model. Lineage: Eukaryota; Fungi; Glomeromycota; Glomeromycetes; Glomerales; Glomeraceae. The record is from RNAcentral.
AGCAGCCGCGGUAAUUCCAGCUCCAAUAGCGUAUAUUAAAGUUGUUGCAGUUAAAAAGCUCGUAGUUGAAUUUCGGGAUCAGUACGCUGGUCGUGCCUUUGGUAUGUACUGGUGUCACUGAUUCCUUCCUUCUGAAGAACCGUUAUGCCAUUUAUUUGGUGUGGCGGGGAAUCAGGACUGUUACUUUGAAAAAUUAGAGUGUUUAAAGCAGGCUCGCGCUUGAAUACAUUAGCAUGGAAUAAUGAAAUAGGACGUUUGAUUCUAUUUUGUUGGUUUCUAGGAUUGACGUAAUGAUUAAUAGGGAUAGUUGGGGGCAUUAGUAUUCAAUUGUCAGAGGUGAAAUUCUUGGAUUUAUUGAAGACUAACUACUGCGAGAGCAUUUGCCAAGGAUGUUUUCAUUAAUCAAGAACGAAAGUUAGGGGAUCGAAGACGAUCAGAUACCGUCGUAGU